Non-coding RNA from Schistosoma haematobium, 45 nucleotides. Lineage: Eukaryota; Metazoa; Platyhelminthes; Trematoda; Strigeidida; Schistosomatidae. The record is from Rfam.
AUUCAGCUGAUGAGUUCCAAAUAGAACGAAACUUGAGUCCUAAAU